UAGGGAAUCUUCCACAAUGGACGCAAGUCUGAUGGAGCAACGGCCGCGUGAGUGAAGAAGGUUUUCGGAUCGUAAAGCUCUGUUGUUGGUGAAGAAGGAUAGAGGCAGUAACUGGCCUUUAUUUGACGGUAAUCAACCAGAAAGUCACGGCUAACUACGUGCCAGCAGCCGCGGUAAUACGUAGGUGGCAAGCGUUGUCCGGAUUUAUUGGGCGUAAAGCGAGCGCAGGCGGAAGAAUAAGUCUGAUGUGAAAGCCCUCGGCUUAACCGAGGAACUGCAUCGGAAACUGUUUUCUUGAGUGCAGAAGAGGAGAGUGGAACUCCAUGUGUAGCGGUGGAAUGCGUAGAUAUAUGGAAGAACACCAGUGGCGAAGGCGACUCUCUGGUCUGCAACUGACGCUGAGGCUCGAAAGCAUGGGUAGCGAACAGGAUUAGAUACCCUGGUAGUCCAUGCCGUAAACGAUGAGUGCUAAGUGUUGGGAGGUUUCCGCCUCUCAGUGCUGCAGCUAACGCAUUAAGCA
This 520-nucleotide ribosomal RNA is filed under the name uncultured bacterium. Its description in RNAcentral is "partial 16S ribosomal RNA". It matches the Rfam family "Bacterial small subunit ribosomal RNA", at positions 355 to 866 of the family's 1533-position model. The record is from RNAcentral.